Molecule: ribosomal RNA, 254 nt
Filed under: uncultured bacterium
Lineage: Bacteria
Description: partial 16S ribosomal RNA
Rfam family: Bacterial small subunit ribosomal RNA
Source: RNAcentral
UACGUAGGUGGCAAGCGUUGUCCGGAAUUAUUGGGCGUAAAGCGCGCGCAGGCGGCCUCUUAAGUCUGAUGUGAAAGCCCCCGGCUCAACCGGGGAGGGCCAUUGGAAACUGGGAGGCUUGAGUAUAGGAGAGAAGAGUGGAAUUCCACGUGUAGCGGUGAAAUGCGUAGAGAUGUGGAGGAACACCAGUGGCGAAGGCGACUCUUUGGCCUAUAACUGACGCUGGGGCGCGAAAGCGUGGGGAGCAAACAGGG